RNAcentral lists this transfer RNA (80 nucleotides) under Bos taurus (domestic cattle). It matches the Rfam family "tRNA". From Rfam's summary of the family: Transfer RNA (tRNA) molecules are approximately 80 nucleotides in length. RNAcentral also lists the same sequence under 1 other name. The record is from Rfam by way of RNAcentral. Lineage: Eukaryota; Metazoa; Chordata; Mammalia; Artiodactyla; Bovidae.
UCCCUGGUGGCUCAGUGGUAAAGAAUCUGCCUGCCAUGCAGAAGGCGCAGGAGACCCGGGUUCGAUCCCUGGGUGGGGAA